AAAAUACAAAGGUCAUCUACCCACAUGAGAGGAGAUGCCUUUUUUUGGAUCCAUUGGGGGAAUCUAAAAGGAACAUUCAGAGAUGCCUGGAGUCAACAAGGGCCUUUAUGCGAAAGAAAGACUGCAAUGUGACAAGGUGGACAUGCAGCACUCUGGCCCAUGCACGCCAGCAAGAUGGCACAUCAUGUGGUGUCCUGGCCUUAAAAUUUGCAGAGAAAAUAUUGAAAGGGCAGCCAAUUAACAUUGAGACGCACCUUUCGGCUGUGAACAAUUUCAGACUGGAUAUUGCCACUAUUCUCCUUCAAGAAACAGAUGAUCUCAGCAAGGUCUGUCACAGCUGUGGGAUGGAGGAGAGCGAUAACCCUCAAUGGGUACGUUUUCACUGUGCAAUACAGUCAGGCUGUGAAAUAGCAGGGAGUAGAUAACAUCAUUAUUGUAGUAAAAUGGAAAAUGUAUUUUGGUGACAAUGCAUAAUGCGUAUGAGUUCAAACAGUGUACCUUCUGUUUUAAUGUGUUUGUGUACAAAUAGGUUGAAUGAUAAAGAGGUAAAAAAAAAAAAAAAUUGUAAUAAGCCCUACAAAUGUUAGUGAAACCAACAAAUACAGAACAGUUUACUUAACUCUUCCAUGACCUACUCCCUCAUUUCAUACAGAAGCUGGAAAAAGGUCUCAGUCCAUUUCAUGUGUAGUAUGAGCAAGUGGAUUCUGUGGCUGUGAAGUCUCGAUAUGGAGCUGUAACAGUGAUAAUGAUGAAUUAUUUAAAUUCGGAAUUUAUAUACAUUUAAUGGCCCAACUUAUCUGCCUCCUCACCUACAUCCUCCUCCCCCACCUUAGAUCUGCUGUGACAUCUGUGAUAGGUGGUUUCACCAUGAGUGUGUCCUGAGGCCAGAUGUGGAUGGGGAUUACCUGUGCCCUGCGUGUUCAUGAUGAGGGGAGUGUUGGAAGUAUUAAACUAUAUUUAUGUUAUCCCCUUCUGCCCAAUAUAUAAUAAUAUUUCUGUUUAUAGAUGUAUAGUUUUUUAUGAGGAGUUACAUUUUAUUACCAAAAAGUGUUCUUGUUUUUGUGUUCACUUUAUUUGACGUUUGACUUUGAAUAUUGUAUAUAUAAAUUAUUUAACUAUUGGUGGAUUUUGUUAUUUGUUUGUAUUAAAAUAACUUGCAUUAUACCUUGUUUGAUAAGAAAUUAUAUUUCUUCUCCUCUGACCUGAAAAAACCUAUUUAAUUACAAGACUGGUUUCAGAUUAUAUUAUCGUAAUACCGAUGUAUUUAUGAUGUUUGGUGUGACAGGGACUUUAUCUCUAUUGUGAGGUAAACUUUGUUAGAGAAGUCCCAUGUACCAAGAGCUGGGGACACUGUACAUACCAAGAAAAACA
Molecule: non-coding RNA, 1371 nt
Organism: Nerophis lumbriciformis (worm pipefish)
Lineage: Eukaryota; Metazoa; Chordata; Actinopteri; Syngnathiformes; Syngnathidae
Source: RefSeq, a predicted model, not a curated record